RNAcentral lists this ribosomal RNA (274 nucleotides) under uncultured bacterium. Its description in RNAcentral is "partial 16S ribosomal RNA". It matches the Rfam family "Bacterial small subunit ribosomal RNA", at positions 523 to 796 of the family's 1533-position model. The record is from RNAcentral.
CUACGGAGGGUGCAAGCGUUACUCGGAAUCACUGGGCGUAAAGCGCGCGCAGGCGGGCUGAUAAGUUGGAUGUGAAAGCCUACGGCUCAACCGUAGAACUGCAUCCAAAACUGUCAGUCUAGAGUCUGGGAGGGGAAGAUGGAAUUAGUUGUGUAGGGGUAAAAUCCGUAGAGAUAACUAGGAAUACCAAAAGCGAAGGCGAUCUUCUGGAACAGUACUGACGCUGAGGCGCGAAAGCGAGGGGAGCAAACAGGAUUAGAAACCCUUGUAGUCC